AUUUAUUAAUAUAAGAAAGCAAAUCCGCUGAACUUAAGCAUAUUAUUAAGCGGAAGAAAAGAAAAUAACAAUGAUUCUUUUAGUAACGGCGAGUGAACAAAGAAAAGCUCAACAUGGAAAAUCCGACAGAUAGCUACCCGCGAUUUGUCGGAAUUGUCAAGUUGAAAAACAUUCCAAGAGUUCUUUUUUAUAAUAUGACAAUGAGAAGAAGUAGAUAGAAAUGUCUCUCCUUAGAGGGUGAAAGACCCGUAUUCUUAAUCAUAAAACUGAUCAAUUGGAAUGUUUUGUUUUUGAGUCGUGUUCUUUGAGACUGGAGCACUAAUUAGUGUGAUACAUUUCACAUAAAGCUAAAUAUUUGUAAGAAACCGAUAGUAAACAAGUACCGUGAGGGAAAGAUGAAAUAGUACUCAGGAAUGAGCAAUUAAAUAGUACCUGAAAUCGUUAAGAUGGAACGGAUUAAAAAAGGAAAAAAGUAACAACAUAGUUAAAAUGAGAGAUUUUGGUGCGCGCAAUAAAGAAUGGAGUCCUUAAAAAAGGAUGUAGAUAUUCAAGUAUCAAAACAAAAUUUUUCUUUUUUUAAAAAGAAAUUUUUUGAAGCUUUUGUUAUAAUAUUCAUUUUUAUUCUUAUCCUUUUUUUUAGGUAAGAUAAAAAUGAUACAAAAGUUGUCUUUCAUACUAUAUAUAUAUAUAUAUAUAUAUAUAUAUAAAUAUUAUGUUCUUAUUAAAAGAAACAUGAGUGAAUGAAAAUAAAUAAUCGUGGAGCAAAAAUAAACACAAUAACAAGAAAAAAAAAUAAAAAAAAUAAAAUAAAAUAAUUAAAAUAAAAAUAAAACAAAAAGAAACAAAAAAAAGCAAAAUAUAAAAUAAAAGAAUUAAUUGAAUUUAAUUUCAUUUUAUUUUUUUCCUUUUAUAUUUUGCUUUUUUAUUUUGUUUUAUUUUUAUUUUAAUUAUUAUUUUUUUUUUUUUUUUUUUUUUCCCUUAUUGACUAUUUUUCUAAGCUAAUGUGGAAAAAUAUAACUUGCUUCUUUUUUUUUUUUUCUUUUCUGAAGGGAGAAAAAAAAGAAAAAUAUGAAAGAUACAUUUAUUUAAUUUACUGAGGAUUGUGAAAAUUAUAUUAAUUGUAUAUGAUGCGAAAUAAUAUAAUUUAAGAUGUUUUUAUAAAGUACUUUUUUAACCCACUCGUCUUGAAACACGGACCAAGGAGUCUAACAAAUGUGCAAGUGUAUAUGAUAAGAAUAAACAUAGUAUAAAAAUUUCUACGCAUAAUUAAUGUAACAAAAAUAUAUGUUUAUUAAUUGUAGAUUUUGUGGGGUUUUAAAUUUUUUUUAUAAAUCCACACAAAUGCAUACAAUACCGGUGAGCAAUUAUGCUUUAUUGAGUAAGAGCAUACUUGUUAGGACCCGAGAGGCUUUGAACUAAACGUGAUGAGAUUGAAGUCAGAGUAAAAUCUGAUGGAGGAUCGAGUUGAUACUGACGUGCAAAUCGUUCAUUUCAAUUGCGUUUAGGGGCGAAAGACUAAUCGAAAAGCCUAUUAGCUGGUUAUUUUCGAAAGAUCUCUCAGGAUCGCUGGAGUUGAUUAUAAUAUAGUUUUACCUGGUAGAAAUAAUGAUUAGAGGAUUCAAGGAGAUGAUAAUUCCUUGACCUAUAUAUAUCGAAAGAUUCAAUAGGUAAAAAAAUGAGGAAAUAACUUUAUUGUAUUUUCAUUCAUAUUUAAAAAUAAGAUAACUCCAAGUUGGCCAUUUUUGGUAAGCAGAACUGGCGAUGAGGGAUGCUCCUAACGCUUGGAUAAGGUGCCUAAAUAUCCGCUCAUUAGAUACCAUUAAAAAGGUGUUGGUUUGUGAUUACAGUAGGACGGUAUUCAUAGAAGUUGAAAUCCGCUAGGAAGUGUGUAACAACUUACCUACCUAAUAAACUCGCCCUGAAAAUGGAUGGCGCUAAAGCGGAUUACCGAUACCAAGCCAUAAAAAAGAAAAAAAAAAAAAAUUCAAUAUUUUUUUUAUUUUUUUAGAUUCUUUUUAUGAGUAGAAAAUCGUGGGGUUUUGUGUUGAAGCGAAAUACGUGAGUUUUCGUGGAACAUCUCCCUAGUGCAGAUCUUGGUGGAAGUAGCAAAUAUUCUUAUGAGAACUUUGAAGACUGAAGUGGAGAAGGGUUUUUUGUAAACUAUGUUUGAGCAAAAGUUAGCCGUUCCUAAGAGAUAGCUGAAAAGCGUUAUAAAUUGAGGUUACCUAUUAUAUGAAAAGUAUAGUAGUGUUUUUUCUCUUCUCGAAAGGGAAGCAGGUUGAUAUUCCUGCGCCAUAUGUAAUAAGAACUAAUAAAUAGAGAUGGUAACAUAUAUAUAAAUAAAUGAACUCCUUAACAUAGGCCUUACACUUGGAGUGCGUUAUCUUUGCACUUUAACUUUAUAUCAAACCUUCGAAAUCGAUUUACUUGUAGAAAAGGUUCGAUGAAUUUACAAUAAGCAAUUUAUUUAUUAUAUGCGUGGACCGGUACACAUGAUAUAUAUAUUAAUGAAUUGUUUUGUAGUAAUAGUAAUUCGUUUGUUGUACGAAUUAUCCAAAGUUGUAUGGACUAUCCAUGAAAAAAGGAGGGAACACUAAAUUAAAUGGGAAUGUAUAAAAUACUAUAAAAGUAUGAAAGAAGAAAAAGUAAAGAAAGGAAAGAAAAAAAAAUAUUAACCUUCAGCUUUUUUUUCUAUUUUUUUUUUCUUUUUUUGCUUUCAUAUAUUUUUAUAGUGUUUUUACAUUAACCAUUUUUUUUUUUAUAUUCUUAAAUUACAAUUAUAAAAAUGAACGUACCAAUAACCGCAUCAGGUCUCCAAGGUUAGUAGCCUCUGGUUAAAUAGAAAAACGUAGGUAAGGGAAGUAAGCAAAUUAGAUCCGUAACUUCGGGAAAAGGAUUGGCUCUGAUAACACAAAAUGAGAAGAAAAAAAUGAAAAGAAAAAAAUGAAAAGAAAAAAAUGAAAAGAAUUGUGGUUGAAAAUAAAAAUGUUAAGAUGUUUAUUUAUAUAUUUAUAUUAGUUUUUCUUAUAUUUUAAGAUUAAUUAAUUAAUUAUAUAUUUAAUAUGUUAAAAUGUUUUAUAUUUCUUCUUCUACUCUAUUCUAUUCCAUUCUAUUCUAUUCUAUUUUUUUUUUUCUCUUUCUCUUCGAUAUUACAUAUAUUUUGUUAUUAUAAUAAAAAUUAUGUAAUAUUGUUUAGCUGUGUUUAUUCAGAACUGAAACGGACAAGGGGAAUCCGACUGUUUAAUAAAAACAUAGCAUUGUGAAAAGCUAUAACUGGUAUUAACACAAUGUGAUUUCUGCCCAGUGCUUUGAAUGUCAAGUUGAUGAAAAUUUCAAUUAAGCGCAGGUAAACGGCGGGAGUAACUAUUAUGACUCUCUUAAGGUAGCCAAAAAUGUAUGGUCGAUAAAAAGGACCAUCAGGAAUGGAUUAACGAGAUUCCUACUGUCCCUACUUGCGAUCUAGCGAAACCACAACCAAGGGAAAGGGCUUGGUAAAAUCAGCAGGGAAAGAAGACCCUGUUGUGCUUUACUCUAGUCUGACUUUGUAAAAAGAUUUAAGAGGUAUAGUAUAAGUGGUAGUAGAAAUUGAAAUAAUGUUUUUACGUCAGUGAAAUACCACUACUUUUAAAACGUUUUUACUAAUCCAUUUAUCUAGUGAAUGACUAUUAUAUAAAUAUAUAUAUAUAUAUAUUUUCUAUAUUUUAUGUGUAUCACUUUUUAUGGAGACAGAGUCAGGUGGGGAGUUUGACUAAGGUGGUACAUCUGUUAAAAAAUAACGCAGAUGUCCAAAGAUAAGCUCAAGGAGAACAGAAAUCUCUUGUAGACUAAAAGGGGAAAAGCUUGUUUGAUUUCUAUUUUCAGAAAGAAUAGAAAACGUGAAAACGUGGCCUAUCGAUCCUUUAUAUUUGCAAAAUGACGUAAAAUUAUUUACUACUGUGCAUAUAAAGGUGUCUGAAAAGUUACCACAGGGAUAACUUGUUUGUGGCUGCUUAGCGAUAUUAGCAACGUGGCUUUUUGUAUUUUCGAUUACGGCUCUUCCUAUCAUUGGGACGCAGAAGUCUCAAAGUGUCGGAUUGUUCACCCGCUAAUAGGGAACGUGAGCUGGGUUUAGACCGUCGUGAGACAGGUUAGUUUUACCCUACUGAUGAAUAUUAUUAUAUUAUUAUAUAUAUAUAUAGUAUUGUGACAGUAAUCCAACUUGGUACGAGAGGAUUAGUUGGUUCAGACAAUUGGUACAGCAAUUGGGUUGAUAAACCAGUGUUGCGAAGCUACGUCUGUUGGAUAAUGACUGAACGAUUCUAAAGUCAGAACCCAUACUGAUUAAACAAUAAUAUAAUUGUAUAUUUUUGUUAUAAGGUUGUGUUUUAUUUUUUUUUAUUGCUAAUGUAAAAGAGAAAUUUAAUAUAUGCGUUAAUCUAUAUAUAUUAUGUAUAGAUUUUCAUAAACAUAUAAAUAAUCCCAUAAAGACGUAUCUUUUUUUUUUCUAAACAAAGAAAAAUAUGUUCUUUUUAUUGUAAUUUAACAACAAAAAUAAUCUAAAGUAUAUUGUAGACGACAUUUUUAGCCUCAGAGUGCUGUAAACAUGUGAGCAAACUUGUUUUGCGAACUGUUCAGGCUUAUCUCUUGUGGUUUUUGCUUUU
This is a ribosomal RNA of Plasmodium falciparum RAJ116, 4640 nucleotides long. It matches the Rfam family "Eukaryotic large subunit ribosomal RNA". The record is from Rfam. NCBI's taxonomy places the organism in Eukaryota, Apicomplexa, Aconoidasida, Haemosporida, Plasmodiidae.